Molecule: ribosomal RNA, 494 nt
Filed under: uncultured Lactobacillus sp.
Lineage: Bacteria; Bacillati; Bacillota; Bacilli; Lactobacillales; Lactobacillaceae
Description: bacterial SSU rRNA
Rfam family: Bacterial small subunit ribosomal RNA
Source: RNAcentral
GCCUAAUACAUGCAAGUCGAACGCAAUCUUUUAACAAUGAGUGCUUGCACUCAGCGUUUUAAGUGCGAGUGGCGAACGGGUGAGUAACACGUGGGCAAUCUGCCCAAAAGUGGGGGAUAACACUUGGAAACAGGUGCUAAUACCGCAUCAACCGGCUGACCGCAUGGUCGGCCGGGCAAAGACGGCGUCAGCUGUCGCUUUUGGAUGAGCCCGCGGCGUAUUAACUAGUUGGUAAGGUAACGGCUUACCAAGGUGAUGAUACGUAGCCGAACUGAGAGGUUGAUCGGCCACAUUGGGACUGAGACACGGCCCAAACUCCUACGGGAGGCAGCAGUAGGGAAUCUUCCACAAUGGACGCAAGUCUGAUGGAGCAACGCCGCGUGUAUGAAGAAGGUCUUCGGAUCGUAAAAUACUGUUGUCAGAGAAGAACACGUGAUAGAGUAACUGCUAUGACGCUGACGGUAUCUGACCAGCAAGUCACGGCUAACUACGUG